UGAAAUUGAUGUAUAUUUUAAGAAAAUGUUGUAAAAAAUAAAUUGUGUCAUUAACUUGUAUCUUGAAAUUCAGAAAUGAAUGCUAAAUUUCUUUAAAAGAGGCUAGUUAAAAUUUUAAAAAUACCAACAAAAAAAUUGUCUAUUGAAAAAAAAGUGAGGUAUAAACUUUUAAAAGAUUAACAUGCACGAUUUAUAUAACAAAAAUUUUAUAUUUGAUUUACCAAC
RNAcentral lists this long non-coding RNA (225 nucleotides) under Lathyrus oleraceus (garden pea). Its description in RNAcentral is "Pisum sativum (pea) long non-coding RNA (PSAT_LNC040247)". The record is from RNAcentral. Lineage: Eukaryota; Viridiplantae; Streptophyta; Magnoliopsida; Fabales; Fabaceae.